Molecule: long non-coding RNA, 1369 nt
Organism: Rosa chinensis
Lineage: Eukaryota; Viridiplantae; Streptophyta; Magnoliopsida; Rosales; Rosaceae
Exons: 5
Source: RefSeq, a predicted model, not a curated record
CAACACCCCUCCCCCUCCUCUCUUGCCCUGAUCUUGAUCCCUCCGGAUCCAGAUCGUUGGCUCGAGGGUUGGGGGCGGCUCUUCUUCAUUUUGUCUUGUUCAGUUGUCUUCUUCAACGCUGUGCAAGAGCUUUGGGUCAGGCUGGGGACGCUUGGAUCCUGGUCGGUUCGUCCCGCUAGUGUGGUGCGGAGCUGCGGUGCGGUUGAGCGGUGGCUGUGGCGGUGGUGGAAAGGCCAGUUCCCGGAUCGGUUUCUACCGCGGUGGUUGCACGACUGCCUUCUUUUUUGGUUCUGGUGUGAAACUUGAAAUAGUCACUCAAAUAUGUUCUCUACCUGAUAGUGGUGAAUUCUUCCCAGAAGAAGUCUCGACACCCAUUCUUGAUCUGAUGAAAUCCUUUGAGAGUUAUCAUCUAUAAUGCUGGAAACACGGAAGUCUUUUAAAGCCAGUUUGGCAGUAGCGGAGUUGACAAUUGCAAUACACCAUGUUUUCCAUGCACCGGUUGAUAAGAUACUAUGGGAUGCUAUAGAACAACUGAGAGUGAAUAUGAUCACUACUUCAAUAACAGUAAAGCUGUUAAGGAAGCAAUGUGUUUCAUGAUGGACCCAGAUUAUGGGAAGAAGACCUGCUAUGUACAGUUCCCACAAGAAGAGGGCUGCUCUUAGUUCUUUUAAUUUGAGAUUCCAGGGCUCUUCAGAGAAAUUCAACCGAAGCUAUGAUGGAGGCAAGGGUUGUUGAUAUUCUAAAUGCAAUGGAACCACUUGCAUAUAGGAAAAUGGACUUUGAAGAAUUUUGUGCUGCUGCAAUUAGCACGCAUCAAUUGGAGGCCCUCGAAGGAUGGGAGCAGAUAGCAUCUACUGCUUUUUAAUUUGAGAUUCCAGGGCUGUCAAAAAAACUGAAUCGACCAUUCCCAUUUUCAAUAUGGAAGACAUUGACGAGUUAAGGUGAAGGAAAUCAACUAUUAUCAAUUAAACCUGAAGCCUUUGCUGAACUGAAGGUGAAGGAAAUCAAGAAUGGGCGGUUGGCAAUGACCUCAAUUGAUAAGAUUCUUUGUUCAGGCUAUUGUAACUGGAAAAGGGCCAGUUGAGAACCUCUAUGACCACGUUGCUGAUCCCGUGGCCAACAAUGCAUGGGCAUACGCUACCAACUUCGUCCCCGGGAAGUGAAGAAACCUAAAUUGCUGGGAUUUCUGCAACAUUAUCCAAAGUUGUUAAUUUUCUGUAUCCAGUAAAAAGAUGCAGCUUCUUUUUGCUUGAACAACUUCUUUGUUUAUUGGCCAAAAGAAAAGAAAAGAAUACAAGAAAAAAGAAAAAAGAGAACUGUUUAUUUUUCUAAAUGCGGUGCACAUUCAGGUGCUCAUGUCAACAGAUGC